This 396-nucleotide ribosomal RNA is filed under the name Triticum aestivum (bread wheat). Its description in RNAcentral is "partial small subunit ribosomal RNA". The record is from RNAcentral. Lineage: Eukaryota; Viridiplantae; Streptophyta; Magnoliopsida; Poales; Poaceae.
AUGGCAUUUUAUUUUUGUAUUCCAGCUCCUGUUAUAGAUGGUGGACGUCUGAAGAGGUAUGUGUUUCACAAGCUCCGCACCGAGUUGCCAGAGGGUCCGUUCUGCAUCUUGUACGUUAUGUGCGACUGCUACACACCACAAGGUGUUCCAAUCCCCACCAACAAGAGGCACAAUGCUGCCAAGAUCUUCAACACCUCGAAGGUUGCAGCUGAGGAGAGAUGGUAUGGAAUUGAGCAGGAGUACACUCUCCUCCAGAAGGAUGUGAACUGGCCCCUUGGCUGGCCCGUUGGUGGCUACCCUGGUCCUCAGGCAAGAAAACUCUCAGCAUCCUCUCCAGCUUUCCUGUUUUUGUUAUGCAGGUUGGAAGAAAAGAAGAAGAUCCAGAGAAGAUCUUAG